AAAAAGGGCUUUUGUAGUGAGUGGCACAUGUAGGGCAACUUGAUUACUCUUCAUGUGAAUUGACAUCAACAGAUUUUAGAAGGUUGAGUUUUUGGCAGUUGGGCAGUAUCCUACAUUAAAAAUAGAUAAUUAAUUAAUUAAAAAGCCCUGGCAGGCUGUGGUUGUGUCUCG
This is a non-coding RNA of Ictidomys tridecemlineatus (thirteen-lined ground squirrel), 171 nucleotides long. The record is from Rfam. Lineage: Eukaryota; Metazoa; Chordata; Mammalia; Rodentia; Sciuridae.